Molecule: non-coding RNA, 735 nt
Organism: Rattus norvegicus (Norway rat)
Lineage: Eukaryota; Metazoa; Chordata; Mammalia; Rodentia; Muridae
Source: RefSeq, a predicted model, not a curated record
UUCCCCCUAAAGACAAGUUUCAGACUCAGGGCUACCCUUCCCUGACGCUUUGAUCAACCAUAUCCAUUUCUCUGAGUGUACGAUUUUACUUGGGAAUUUUUUUCACGUUUAAGGGUUAAUUUUUUUGACUAAACUGAACCAAGAAGAACAGAAAACAGACUGAUGUUGGAGCGCCCUCUGCUGUUUGAUGGAAGGUGGCCACGACUGGUGUGAGUUCCUGAGAGUGAGGCCCCAUCACACGUCCCAAAGGCAACAUUUCAGAGCAUCUCUCCUCAUCUUCCAGCGCCCACAUGCUUUAUCUCCGCACCGUCUACGGCUGACAGGAAAAAGAAGCCAGAAGAGGACAUCAGAUCUCAUUACAGAUGGUUGUGAGCCACCACGUGAUUGCUGGGAAUUGAACUCAGGACCUCUGGAAGAACAGUCAGUGCUCUUAACCGCUGAGCCAUCUCUCCAGCCCUUCAAACACAUUUCAACAUCGAAUGUUGAACGUGCAGAGCAGUGUCUUCUAGGACAAGUUAGAAGAACCGAAGGCAGGAGAAUCAGAAGAAAGGCAUGAAAAGAGCGCAGGACUGUAAGUGAUGAUUAAACCAUGUCAGAUGUCAUUUGGGUUCUGUGCUGCCUUAUGUGCACUGUGCAGUGGCCUUAAGUUGCAAUGUAAACAUGUAUUUUCUUAUUGGUUCCAUCCAGAAUGUUUUGAAGUUAAUAGUCAAUAUGUCGUCAAUAAACCCAUAAGCA